AUUGAACGCUGGCGGCAUGCUUUACACAUGCAAGUCGAGCGGUAACAGGCCGCAAGGUGCUGACGAGUGGCGAACGGGUGAGUAAUGCAUCGGAACGUGCCCAGCCGUGGGGGAUAACUACUCGAAAGAGUAGCUAAUACCGCAUACGAUCUAUGGAUGAAAGCGGGGGACCGUAAGGCCUCGCGCGAUUGGAGCGGCCGAUGUCAGAUUAGGUAGUUGGUGGGGUAAAGGCUCACCAAGCCAACGAUCUGUAGCUGGUCUGAGAGGACGACCAGCCACACUGGGACUGAGACACGGCCCAGACUCCUACGGGAGGCGGCAGUGGGGAAUUUUGGACAAUGGGCGCAAGCCUGAUCCAGCAAUGCCGCGUGCAGGAAGAAGGCCUUCGGGUUGUAAACUGCUUUUGUACGGAACGAAACGGCUCUGGUUAAUACCCGGGGCUAAUGACGGUACCGUAAGAAUAAGCACCGGCUAACUACGUG
RNAcentral lists this ribosomal RNA (482 nucleotides) under uncultured bacterium. RNAcentral describes it as "partial 16S ribosomal RNA". It matches the Rfam family "Bacterial small subunit ribosomal RNA", at positions 30 to 507 of the family's 1533-position model. The record is from RNAcentral.